AAAUGAAUAGACGGGCACCCGCACAAGCGGUGGAGCAUGCUGUUUAAUUCGAUGCUACGCGAAAAACCUUACCUAGGCUUGACAUCCCUGGCGAAGCUAUAGAGAUAUAGUGGAGAUUAUCCAGGUGACAGGUGGUGCACGGUUGUCGUCAGCUCGUGUCGUGAGAUGUUCGGUUAAGUCCGAUAACGAGCGCAACCCUCGUCACUAGUUGCUAACAUUAGGUUGAGUUCUUUAGUGAGACUGCCGGUGAUAAACCGGAGGAAGGUGGGGAUGACGUCAAAUCAUCAUGCCCCUUACGUCUAGGGCUACAGGCGUGCUACAAUGGCCGUUACAAUGAGAUGCAAUAUCGUGAGGUAGAGCAAAUCUUAAAAGACGGUCUCAGUUCGGAUUGGAGUCUGCAACUCGACUCCAUGAAGCAGGAAUCGCUAGUAAUCCUAAAUCAGAAUGUUAGGGUGAAUACGUUCCCGGGUGUUGUACACACCGCCCGU
Molecule: ribosomal RNA, 488 nt
Filed under: uncultured bacterium
Lineage: Bacteria
Description: bacterial SSU rRNA
Rfam family: Bacterial small subunit ribosomal RNA
Source: RNAcentral